This 1249-nucleotide long non-coding RNA is filed under the name Malus domestica (apple). Its description in RNAcentral is "long non-coding RNA (MDOM_LNC017031)". Lineage: Eukaryota; Viridiplantae; Streptophyta; Magnoliopsida; Rosales; Rosaceae. The record is from RNAcentral.
UAGCUCAUGGGUACCACAGAUAACUUUGCCAAAGUUCUCUGCCAAAGUUGAGCACGUGAAGCUUGCAGCUCCCACUACAUCGCUCUGACCAAGAAGGGUAAAAGAAUAGCAAAGAAACAGCACUAACAAAGUUUAGACCCAUAAAUUUUGAAGGUCUAGCUACCAUAUUAUUACCCACAAGGGUAAAGGAACAGUACCACUGCUGGAUAAUUGGAAAGUCCCUGUGUGUCAACCUCUGUGCUUCGUGGCAAGGUAGACUAGCAAACAUGCCCAACCUUUACUCACAUUCGAGAAAACACUCCCAAUAAAAUUGCUUGCUCCAAAAUCGAAGAGGCACCGUCCUCCGAAUCUCGAGAGCCAGACUCCCAACAUGACUACUUUCUUAAAAAUCGAAGAGAGGGUAAAGGAACAGUACCAUUGCUGGAUAAUUGGAAAGUCCCUGUGUGUCAACCUCUGUGCUUCGUGGCAAGGUAGACUAGCAAACAUGCCCAACCUUUACUCACAUUCGAGAAAACACUCCCAACAAGAUUGCUUGCUCCAAAAUCGAAGAGGCACCGCCCUCCGAAUCUCGAGAGCCAGACUCCCAACAUGAUUACUUUCUCAAAAAAUCGAAGAGACACUGCUCCCCGAAUUUCGAGAGCCAGACCCCCAGCAUGAUUGCUUUCUCAAAAAUCGAUGAGGCAUCGUUCUCCGAAUCAAUCGAAGAGGCGCUCGCUUUCUCAAAAGCUGGGCUGCUCAGAGACCACGAGGGCCGAUCUCAGAAAUCGAAGAGGCACCUACUUUCUAGCCUUGUCAGCACCUGUCACACGCACACUCAGCUUUGCAGAAAUUAUGGGCAUUCUGUCGAAGACUUCUGGUGAAGUAGAAAGCACAUGAAUCUUACUGUUCAAUCACCCACUUCCCACACGCAACAAUAGCUCAUGGGUACCACAGAUAACUUUGCCAAAGUUCUCUGCCAAAGUUGAGCACGUGAAGCUUGCAGCUCCCACUACAUCGCUCUGACCAAGAAAGGUAAAAGAAUAGCAAAGAAACAGCACUAACAAAGUUUAGACACAUAAAUUUUGAAGGUCUAGCUACCAUAUUAUUACCCACAAGGGUAAAGGAACAGUACCAUUGCUGGAUAAUUGGAAAGUCCCUGUGUGUCAACCUCUGUGCUUCGUGGCAAGGUAGACUAGCAAACAUGCCCAACCUUUACUCACAUUCGAGAAAACACUCCCAACAAGAUUGCUUGCUCCAAAAUCGAAGAGGC